Non-coding RNA from Doryrhamphus excisus (bluestripe pipefish), 962 nucleotides. Lineage: Eukaryota; Metazoa; Chordata; Actinopteri; Syngnathiformes; Syngnathidae. The record is from RefSeq and is a predicted model, not a curated record.
CAUGCAGAAUGAAGUUAUAAAAGCGUGUCAGACUCGCUCCACUCUGCGUCGAAGCACAGUGGAGAACUGCUGUCAUAACGUAAUUUAAUUUGUUAACGCGUUAUUUUGACAGCCCUCAAAUAUACGAGAAUAAAGUAAUAUUUCAUGUGAGAGGGAAAACAGUGCAUAGCUCUUCAGGAAGGAAGGGAACGUUCCUCUUCCUUCAGACAGGUGAACAGAUUAGCAUGUAGCCAUUCUCACUUCCGCCUUAUUAACUUCGCCCCCUCCACAUGCCCAAGACCAUCGUUCCCGAAAGUCCCCCUUUCAUAGCUGUCUUAGUCAAUGCCUGUAACAGUGUUUUUUCUUGUACAUGUACGACUUGAUUUUGGCAAUUUAUAAUACAAUACUUAUUACAAUAAUAUUAUAACUUUUAUCGCAAAUUCAUGACUCCCUUUAAGGAUUUUUGAUUCUCAAAAUCUCAUGAUUAUUUUAAUACUCCAUCGUUAACAGGCAUUGCGCGAGACAAGGACCUAUAAAAGGACCUUUGGCCUUCUGAUAAAUGUACAACUUUUUUUUUAUUGAUAUCUCUUAUCUUUUGCCAAUGUGGCUCUAAUACUCGUGGGGGCCAAAACCCGGACCCACUGCACCCCUCAACUUUGUAUUUAUCCUGAAAUUUUGUAAAUUAACUGUAUAUACAUUCACACAGACAUACGUAUAUAUGUAUAUACAGUAUGCACUGUUGUCGACUCCUCAGUAGGAAAAGCUGCUACUAGCUGUCCUAAGAGUCUCUAAAUGACAUAAUUGGCUUAUUAAUUGGCUUAUAUGGAUACUAUUUGCAUAUGGCAUUGUCCAUGAAGAAGCUAACCUCAUCGGAGGGACAAAAAGACCUACCGCCUAUCAUCUUGCACACUGACAGCUUGUGGCUACAGAGUUACAGUGCUUCAAACUACAGUGUGGGCCGAGUUAAGGAGUAAGAUUUGAUG